UUGACUUAUUUGUAGUCCACUCAGAAUGCGACUUUAACACAGGGUUUGGGGUGCGCAUCGGCGGGAGCCCGGGGGCAGUCCGCCGAAGCAACGUUAGGUGGGUUCUCGAGGGUUGGGAGUUUAAAACUCGCUAAUGAUCCCUCCGCUGGUUCACCAACGGAGA
RNAcentral lists this unclassified non-coding RNA (163 nucleotides) under uncultured fungus. RNAcentral describes it as "sequence contains ITS1". The record is from RNAcentral. Lineage: Eukaryota; Fungi.